GGGGAAUGCUUCAAUCCAUCCAGAAGAGAGACAUACAAUAACUAAAACAUAUUCAAACCCAGAACAUUUUGGCAUCCGUAUAAAGUCCAUUUGCAGAUGUUGGAAUGGUCCCUCAGGUCCCCUACCUCUGUGGGUGAGGCAGACCAUAAAGAAGGAUUAACUUGAUCGAACAGGGUUUCUUCUUCCAUUGUGAGGUUUGCAAGGACGGGCAUGUAUUCUGCUAAAGAGAUCGCUUACAGUGUUCCACCACACUCUGCAACUUGUCCAAGUUUUCCAUUUCCCAUCCGACACAGAUUCUCUUCAGCAAGUUGCCUAUGGGCGGCAGUAAUCCAUCUACAAAACAAGCUGCCAAAGCUCCAGAGGCAUUAUCAUCUGGUUCAUUAAUGCCUGAAUGUUGAUUAAAAACAAG
Alligator sinensis (Chinese alligator) is the source of this 409-nucleotide long non-coding RNA. RefSeq lists it as uncharacterized. The transcript is spliced from 3 exons. The record is from RefSeq and is a predicted model, not a curated record. Lineage: Eukaryota; Metazoa; Chordata; Crocodylia; Alligatoridae.